AUUGAACGCUGGCGGCAGGCCUAACACAUGCAAGUCGAGCGGAUGAAGGGAGCUUGCUCCUGGAUUCAGCGGCGGACGGGUGAGUAAUGCCUAGGAAUCUGCCUGGUAGUGGGGGAUAACGUCCGGAAACGGGCGCUAAUACCGCAUACGUCCUGAGGGAGAAAGUGGGGGAUCUUCGGACCUCACGCUAUCAGAUGAGCCUAGGUCGGAUUAGCUAGUUGGUGGGGUAAAGGCCUACCAAGGCGACGAUCCGUAACUGGUCUGAGAGGAUGAUCAGUCACACUGGAACUGAGACACGGUCCAGACUCCUACGGGAGGCAGCAGUGGGGAAUAUUGGACAAUGGGCGAAAGCCUGAUGCAGCCAUGCCGCGUGUGUGAAGAAGGUCUUCGGAUUGUAAAGCACUGUAAGUUGGGAGGAAGGGCAGUAAGUUAAUACCUUGCUGUUUUGACGUUACCAACAGAAUAAGCACCGGCUAACUUCGUG
Molecule: ribosomal RNA, 484 nt
Filed under: uncultured bacterium
Lineage: Bacteria
Description: partial 16S ribosomal RNA
Rfam family: Bacterial small subunit ribosomal RNA
Source: RNAcentral